GGGACGAACGCUGGCGGCGUGCCUAACACAUGCAAGUCGAACGAGUCCACCCUUUCGGGGGUGAGGCGAGUGGCGGACGGGUGAGUAACACGUGAGCAAUCUGUCCCUGUGUGGGGGAUAACUCGGGGAAACUCGAACUAAUACCGCGUGGGCGGUUUCCAGGAUCUGGAAGCUGGGAAAGGUGGCCUCUUUACAAUGCUGCCAUGCAGGGAGGAGCUCGCGGGCUAUCAGCUAGUUGGUGAGGUCAUAGCUCACCAAGGCGACGACGGCUACGGGGUCUGAGAGGACGACCCCGCACAUUGGAACUGAGACACGGUCCAGGACUCCGUACGGGAGCAGCAGUGGGGAAUUUUGGGCAAUGGACCGAAAGGCUGACCCAGCGACGCCGCGUGUCGGGAGGAAGCCCGUUGGGGUACUAAACCG
Molecule: ribosomal RNA, 423 nt
Filed under: uncultured soil bacterium
Lineage: Bacteria
Description: bacterial SSU rRNA
Rfam family: Bacterial small subunit ribosomal RNA
Source: RNAcentral